RNAcentral lists this ribosomal RNA (905 nucleotides) under Simonyella variegata. RNAcentral describes it as "SSU rRNA". It matches the Rfam family "Bacterial small subunit ribosomal RNA", at positions 1 to 1170 of the family's 1533-position model. Lineage: Eukaryota; Fungi; Ascomycota; Arthoniomycetes; Arthoniales; Roccellaceae. The record is from RNAcentral.
UUUGCGAGAUGGAAAAAAGAAGGUUAAAUGUUUUAUUUUAUAUUUAAGUAUAAUAUUUCUUCUAGUGGUUUAUCCACAUAAAAUUCUAGAUAAAAGACUGAUAUUGACAGAUUUUUAUCUAAUAGUCUUGACUAAAUCACGUGCCAGCUGUCGCGGUAAUACGGGAAAGACAAGUGUUAUUCAUCUUUAAUAGGUUUAAAGGGUACCUAGACGGAUACAAGAACUCAGCCCUUUUUUUGAAAAUAAAAAAGGAUGCAAGCUAUAAUGAUUCAUGUUAUACAGAAUUUAUAAUUUUGUAUACAUAGAAUAGUAGAUUUAUAUCUAUACGAGGUGGCCGAAUUACCCAUUGUUUACCUCCUCCGUGACCAGUUUUGCAUGGGUACAAAUAUCUAGAGUUUUAUGUGAGAGGUUAGUGUUAGUACUAACAGAGUAGAGAUGAAAUUUUUUGAUACUGUGGGGCACUGAUAAAGGCGAAGGCAAUCCUCUAUGUAAAAACUGACGUUGAGGGACGAAGGCUUGGGUAGCAAACAGGAUUAGGUACCCUAAUAGUCCAGGCAGAAAAUUAUGAGUGUCAUAAGCUAGAAUGUUUUUAGUUUAUAAAUGAAAGUGUAAGCACUCCACCUCAAGAGUAAUGUGGCAACGCAGGAACUGAAAUCAUUAGACCGUUUCUGAAACCAGUAGUGAAGUAUGUUGUUCAAUUCGAUGGUCCGCGAAAAACCUUACCACAAUUUGGAUAUUAUAGCGGAAUCUAUUACAUAAAUAAAUUUGCUAUUUUUACAGGUGUUGCACGGCUGUCUUUAGUUAAUGUCGUGAGAUGCAGGUUAGCUCCAAUAAAUUAACGUAAACCCUUGCUUUAUUUAUUUUUUAUAAAGUAUCUUUCUAGUAGAUCGGAAAAGAUAACAGGG